GGUAGAGUGGGGGUUAAAAUCCUAUAUGCUAAAAGUAUGCCAUCAUAUAAUGCUUCAUUUGCUUUUCGCGUUCUUCAAUUCUUUCUUGUCCCCUACCAAGCUACUCUAAUCUCUCCUCUGUGGUGGAACUUGAACUAGAAAUUGCUCUUAUGUCGGCCUAGAGAGAACUAGGGUCACCCCUACCCAUGAGUCUUAAUCACUUUGAU
Molecule: long non-coding RNA, 206 nt
Filed under: Carica papaya (papaya)
Lineage: Eukaryota; Viridiplantae; Streptophyta; Magnoliopsida; Brassicales; Caricaceae
Description: long non-coding RNA (CPAP_LNC009867)
Source: RNAcentral